CUCCGUGCAGUCAAAUUAUAUUCCGCGCGCGAAUUCACUCGCUUAAGGCCUUAAACCGUUCCCACAUUUUCAAUGGUCAGCAAGGAGGCCGGUCAGCAAGGGUGGCAGAACGGAGAGAGGGAUCGAUGGAGAAGAAGCUAAGGAAGAGAUCAUACAGGAGAGUGGAGAGGAGGGUGGAGAGGAGGGUGGAGGAGCAGAGCUUAUUGCUGAGGUUGAAGGAGAUGAAGCGAGCGAGAGUCUGGUGAGUGCGAGUUUAGCAUCGGUGUUCCGGUGAGCCUCGGUUUUAAUCAGGGCCCAAACCCAUGCUUCCUCUUCGCAUGAAUCGGUAGAUGAAGUGCAGGGUGGCGAUGGAGGUUAGUAGCAUAUUUCAUCGGAUGGCAUCCUUGACAGCGACAAGUAGAAGCGGCAGAUUUGAAAUUGAUUAGGUAGGAAGUUGGAAUUAGGGUAGACAUGAGGGAGUGAGAAGUCUGGGAGUCGCGUGUGACUUAUAAGGUUGGGGCUGAAAGCAGAAUCCUUGAGGGAGUGUUUGCUUGGUUCGUUCUCUCUUUUUCAAUGGUUUUCCCUAUCCCCCCCGUUUGGCUCCAUCAACAUUCUUAUACCAAUUAGCGCGCCUACCCCCUAUCUCGUCUCCAGAGGCUAGCCCAAAAAGUACGGCCACAGAGUUUUCUAGUUGAUCCAUCUCUGACAAAUAAGAUCUCUUAUUGGUAGCAGAGCAAAUCCUGAAUUGCAAAGAAAACGAUCUGCCUUUGUUGGGCAUUUCUUCAUUGCCAAAGUUAGACUUCAAAUGCCGCAUGAGGACAUGAAACGAGCAAUAUCUACAUUUUAUGGUGGUUGUUUAUGGAAUGGAGGCUACUACAAACAAGAGUGGACAUAUGGUGGAAGGAGUUGUACAAGCAACAAGUGGUGGAGUUGAGAAAGGUUGAAAACAAUCUUAAGUUCAAAAAAGUAGCCGAUUCUUGUGUUGGUUCCUCUGGUAAGGUAUAUCAAUCACCUCGGAUCUUACUUCUCUGCAGGUUGCUGCUGGAGAACUUGAAUUAAAUCAUGAAUGUAAUUUGAUGCACUGGUCUCCUGAGGACUUUGAAACUAAAUUAUAGGAUUGGGGGUUUUUUGUGCCAUAUUUGAUUGGGAGUAUCUCUUUGAUAGUUUUGGCAGUUGGAAGCACUAGCCUAGGGGUAUUCAUUGGAUAUUGGAAAAGAGCAUGUCAAUCUGGUUGAUGAAAGGGUGCAGAAGCUGAUAUACAGUGGGCAGCUUGAUGUGAAGGAACUAGACAGGUUUGUAGACAUCUAGAUAUCAAUUUCCAAGGGGCAUAUGAGCUUUGAAGAAGACAUGAGAGUCUUUGAAUAAGAGCAGAAAGCAUCUAAAUCUGGUUACUAUUUUGAUCAACAAAAAAUACAAAAAGAAAUAGAAGAAAACAUGAGAGAGCAGUUUGAAGAACACAUUAAGUCCACGAGAACAACUUUAUUAAGUCAUCCAUCAAGACAAUCAAGAAGACAGUGAAGAUAUGAAGCAUUGUCUACUUAUUACUAUGUAUAUGAGAAGACAAGAAGAGGAAGAGAGUUCGAAGACUGUAGUAUACUAUGCACGUAGACUAAUCAAAGUAAAUUUUCUUUUCUUUUUUUUUUUUCUUUCUUGUAAGACUAAAGUUCCAAAGGUUGUCAAGAAAAGAAACAAGUUAUUUUGUAUUGAAUUUUAAUUUGGAUGAAUAAA
Nelumbo nucifera (sacred lotus) is the source of this 1707-nucleotide long non-coding RNA. RefSeq lists it as uncharacterized. The record is from RefSeq and is a predicted model, not a curated record. NCBI's taxonomy places the organism in Eukaryota, Viridiplantae, Streptophyta, Magnoliopsida, Proteales, Nelumbonaceae.